Long non-coding RNA from Panicum hallii, 2400 nucleotides. RefSeq lists it as uncharacterized. The transcript is spliced from 3 exons. Lineage: Eukaryota; Viridiplantae; Streptophyta; Magnoliopsida; Poales; Poaceae. The record is from RefSeq and is a predicted model, not a curated record.
GGCGUGACAGUCCAUUAGUGAGGUCUAUAUAACGAGGGGCGGACCUGUGGACGGCUAAUGCUCUUGCGUCACAAAUUCUAGCUGCCGUCACCUCUCUUCUCCACGAAGCCCUAGCCAAGCGCGCGGUGCUAGCAUACCGGUGACCGGUAUUCCCGCCCCGUACGUGUGGACUUUGAGGAGGCGCUGCUGCGUUUCUGUGGUGCUGAUAGGCGGGACAAGGAGGAGGAGCUGCAAGCUGCGAUCUGCUUCCUCCUCACCGACGCGCGGCUACGUUGAGACGAGCUACCCCAACUCUACUUCCACUGCGCUAUGCAUCUAGUGGUAACGAUCCAUAAUCAUCUGCUUACAUGAGAUCCUUGUUGAACGCGCUAGAACUAUGAAUUGGCGAUAGUGUAGCGUUCUCGUUUCCUAACAGAGCGAUCAUGUUUAGCUUUUGGUCUGGAUGCACAUAUAGAGAUAUGCUUUGUUUAGGGCUUUGCAAUCUGUUCAUAUAUGAUAUAUAGAUUGGUGCACGGUGUGGGAUCGGAUCGGUAUGAGUUGAUAGCAUUAGGAUGACUGUAGAUUUGUUCGUGUUCUUUCUCGGCUGUGCGCACGACUUGCCCGUACCGGUUGGAAUCACCAUCUGAGCUAACUGUGCAAAAGAGAAGAGAUUGAACCGAUGUGUCUAAGUCAUGUGUUGCUGUCUUCUCCGAUGCACCUAUCGCGAUGGUCAAUGUGAUUUAUCUAGUGAAAAUAAGGGUCAUCGUGAAUGGCCCUAAAUUGGCUUGAUUGGAUCAAUCCGAUAAGAUUUUCAUAGCGAUUCAUAGGCAUUGGACCGCCAUUGCAAUCUGUUGAUAGCGGCCUCUUUGUACCCCUUUUGUAGAAUACGUUCUGCGCCUAACUUAUUUUUGCAGGGUAUGAUGUGAAUGGUAUGGCCUUAAUAUCAUGUGAUACUCUGUAUGUAAUAAGUUGUGUGGCUUACAUGUCACUAGUUAAAACAACCGGGUGAGGUUGUCCAUUAUUAUAUAACGGCUUGCGUGUGUCGACAUAUGAUGCUUCAUCCCCUCAUGUAAUUUACUUUACUAGUGCUAUUAGAUGUAAUAGCUUAGUAUUUAUCCUUGGAGGCAUCAAGUAUGAUAGCGAUGAUGAUCACCACAAGACAGGAAGGAUGGCAAUGGACGUCACCAUGGAGCCAUGGCGAUGGAGCCCAUUGUGAUGCAAAAGAUCAUGUCUGCAAGUAACACUUCCAUUUUCAAUUUGCGAUAUGUUCUUGAGAAAGAUAAGUUGAAUGGGAUGAACUUUAUUGAUUGGUACCACAGCCUGAGAAUUGUUCUCAGGCAAGAGAAAAAGGAGUAUGUUCUCGAGUAGCCAUACCCUGAUGAACUCCCUAAUGGAGCAACUGCUACAACUAGAAGAGCUUAUGAGAAGCACUACAAUGACUCACUCGAUGAUGGAGCAACUGCUGCAGCCAGAAAAGCUUAUGAGAAGCACUGCAAUGACUCACUUGAUGUCAUCUGUCUCAUGCUUGCCACCAUAUCCCCUGAUCUACAGAAGCAGUAUAAGUAUGCCGAUGCUCACUCCAUGAUUGAGAGGCUGCAUGGAAUAUUUGAGAACCGAGCUAGUACUGAGACGUACAACAUAUCAAAGUCCUUGUUUGCGUGCAAGAUGGCAGAGGGUAGCCUAGUCAGUCCUCAUGUGAUCAAGAUAAUUGGUUACAUUAAGACUUUGGAGAAACUUGGUUCUGAACUCAAGCCUGGCCUGGCUAUUGAUGUCAUUCUUCAAUCGCUCCCGGCGAGCUAUGAGCCUUUUAUUAUGAACUUUCAGAUGAAUGGUAUGGAUAAAAUAUUGGCUGAAUUGCAUGGGAUGCUAAAAACAGCAAAGGACAACAUUAAGAAAAAUCUCACUCAUGUGAUAGUGGUUCAGUAGGAGAACAAAAGGAGGAAGAGUUGGACGCCUCCUAAAUGCAAAGCUAAAGGAAAGAUUCCUAAUGAGCCCUUGAGCUCUAAACAAAAGCUAAAGGUCAAAUCUGGCCCUACUCCUAAUGAUGAAUGCUUCCAUAGCCAUGCCAAGGGACAUUGGUCAAGAAACUACAAGAAAUACUUGGAGGAUCUGAAGAAGAAGAGGGGAAGUGAGACUUCCGCCUUAGGGACUUCAAAGGACUAGAAGAUUUGCAAGGGGUGAGUUGGAUGUUCGUAUCAGCAAUGGAGCAAAGUUGUGGUCAUGGCGAUCGGCACUUAUCACUUGCUGUUACCCUCAGGAUUAGUUUUGAAAUUAAAUAAUUGUUAUUGCAUCCCUAUUUUAAGUAAGAACAUUAUUUCUUCUUCAUGUUUGGAAGAAGUUGAUGGUUAUGAGAUCGUAAUAAAGAACAAGUGUUGUUCCAUUUAUUGCAAUGAUAUUCUUUAUGCUCAUUGCAUUGGUGAA